AUUUUUGUAGUCAGGUGUGUUAGCUGGGGCGAAACUGUGACACCAAUCAGGCCCCCCGAGGACUGGAUUUGCCCAUCCCUGGGUUAGAUUAGGGGGAAAUGAUAUACCACACCCAGGCAGAUUACAGUAUUGUAAAAUAUUUCUUUCUUUCCAUGAACUCGGCACACAAGAAGAAAAUCUCCCUGGAUGCCUCCAACAAACAUAGACAAGAUGUUCUAACAUGUAUCAUCCACACAACCAUCUGUAAAGUAGAGGUACAACCUAGAAAAGCUCACAGAUAUCAAGGGAGAUGUAGGACUAUUCUUCUUUCACAGGAGAACAAUUCACAAAGGAAUAUUUUUUAUGUCGGUUUUUAUCCUUUUAAUUCCAAGAUUGCCAAAGACAAUUUUCCAUUAACCUAAUGGACAAUAAAGUUUUCUUUCAAAUCUGACUAACUAGAUUUUGGGCCGGGAGUUCUUGUUGUGUUCAUUUGGUUGUUCGGGGAAAAGGGGAUACAAUCAGCUUUGGCCUUCUGCUGGGUACAAGGCUGGUCGGAGUGAGAAAUUAAAUAAAUGCUGCUCUUACAGCUCCCAGCUGUCUCUAAGGUUAUUCUCAGAGACACCGCUAUUGCUAUAAAGUCUUGUCCCACUUAUCUCACACUGUGAAAAUAUUCCAAACACAGACAAUUAAGUUGUUUGCUUCACAGUGCUCUUCCAGUAGGUGACAGACAUUCCUGAGACAUUCAGGUGAGAGUAAGACAUUCUUGAGACAUUCAGGGGAGAGUAAGACAUUCUUGAGACAUUCAGGGGAGAGUAAGACAUUCUUGAGACAUUCAGGGAGAGUAAGACAUUCUUGAGACAUUCAGGGGAGAGUAAGACAUUCUUGAGACAUGCAGGGGAGAGUAAGACAUUCUUGAGACAUUCAGGGGAGAGUAAGACAUUCUUGAGACAUGCAGGUGAGAGUAAGAUAUUCUUGAGACAUUCACAAGGAUGUCAAACCCUUGCGUGUGUCGUCACAUGGACUGAGUGGCUCUAUCAUUGGAGAAGCUGUGAGCAGCGUUAGCCUAUAGCAUACUGGCCUAUAGCCAUCCUUUGGGAUAACAUCACUGCCGACAUUUAAACAGUCUCAUAACUCACACACACACACACACACACACACACACACACACACACACACACACACACACACACACACACACACACACACACACACACACACACACACACACACACACACACACACACACACACACACACACACAAACAA
Long non-coding RNA from Oncorhynchus keta (chum salmon), 1245 nucleotides. RefSeq lists it as uncharacterized. The record is from RefSeq and is a predicted model, not a curated record. NCBI's taxonomy places the organism in Eukaryota, Metazoa, Chordata, Actinopteri, Salmoniformes, Salmonidae. The transcript has 2 exons.